This 85-nucleotide transfer RNA is filed under the name Mycolicibacterium agri. RNAcentral describes it as "tRNA-Ala". Lineage: Bacteria; Bacillati; Actinomycetota; Actinomycetes; Mycobacteriales; Mycobacteriaceae. The record is from RNAcentral.
CGGCGUCGUUGGCGUAUGCGGCGACGACACGCCUGGCCUGGCGGGCGGUGCUGUCGGCUAGCGGUUCGACUUCGCCGAUAUCGGC